Long non-coding RNA from Equus caballus (horse), 3089 nucleotides. RefSeq lists it as uncharacterized. NCBI's taxonomy places the organism in Eukaryota, Metazoa, Chordata, Mammalia, Perissodactyla, Equidae. The record is from RefSeq and is a predicted model, not a curated record.
GGCUCAUUUUCUCGUGUUCUCGGAGACGAAGGUUCUUAGGUGGCCUCUUAGUGGACAGAGGGGUUAUGGAGAGCCCCCGCCCCAAGAUCAGACCUGCCAUGAAGAUGCAGGAAAACCCCUGGGCCCAGGCUGCGGAGAGCGGGCCGCCCUCUCCCUUAUCUCAGGAUUCCACCCCAGUCCCAUGGAGGAGAGUGAUCUGAGUGCCGCGCGGGAGCGGGGACCCGAGGCCCAGCGCUGCCGGCGGAGCCGCCCCCGGACACGCCCCUCCCCGGUGGGCCUCCCUGCGGCGUGGUCCCUGCCCAUGACCAUCAGUCACGCCGUAACGAAGAGCACGGGGGCAGCCCGUUUGUCCACACCGCCAUCUUCUAGGAACCAGGAAGCCAUCCUUCAGGAGUCCCCACCCCAGCGUGGCCUCCCCAGACUGCUUCCUUCCCAGCCUUUGGCGAGGCAUUAGCCCUCUGGAAAGGAUCUGCGGGCAGGACCUGGGACUUCUGUUCUCUGCACCGUCCGCGCCCCUUCUCUCCCUCAAGAUGUCCAGUACUCUCCCUGCAGGGAGGAGAGUUGAGCUUCAGGCGCAGGACAGCCCAGGCCUCACAGGUGACUUUGGGGCAACUCCAGUACCCAGCCCUCCUACCAACUAGUUACGUGACCUGCAGCAAGUUAUUUAACCUCUCUGUGUCUCGCUUUUCUCAGUGGUAAACGGAUGGUCUAACUCUGAGGUCACAGGGAUGAGUGAGAAUUAUGAGGAAUGACAUAUGAAGUAUAUGAGAUGCUUACCACACUGUUUGGUAAAUAACACCAGUUCCCUCCUCCCUGGUUGGUCCGUCCUUUGUAUUCUGUGAAGAGCUUUCCUAUGCAUGGUGCCUCACAGCCAAAAGGGGAGUCCUGAGUCCCUCCUUCCCUAGCUGGUUUGAGGCCAAUUCAGACUCCAUAAAACUGUCUGAAAGGCUUCCACCCUGCUGUUCAAGAGCCCUCCUCCUGAAGAGACUGCAUAUGGCAGGUGAAUGCACCCUGGAACAAUGUGGAAGGCCUGGAGAGCUCAUCACCUUCAACUAGUUCCCACUCAUUUAGUCUGCAGCCAUCCCCUCAUGGAGACUUGGAAGAGACAAGUGGGUUUGAUGGCGGGACUGUGCCCUGAAGCCUCCAAUAUUCAUGGAGAAACCAGCCCUCUCUUCCUUCACUGGACCUUGAAAUGCAGGGUAGACACAGCCAUGAUUUUCCAACAUGCCUCUCUUCCUACAUGGAGUCAGGGGUCUUCGCCUUCCCAUAGGGAAGAACUAAAGCCUCAAAGCUUAUAGGACAAACACUCGAAUCCUGAAGAUGACCUCAGCUCCUGGGUGGGCCCUGCUUACUCCUGGCUUCACGAGGUAGAGGGCCCACAAGGACACUCCAGGUGGAGCCAUACCCCUGGUCUCUGCUCCCUUCCCCUCUUCUAGAUGUGGAUGGUGGGUGGGCUGAACCCACAUAGCCGUGUCCUCCCAACUGCUCUUCUGAUUCUGCCUUCACCCCUUCCCUGCUGGUCCUUGCCUAGACUCCUGUCACUGCCCUUGUUUUUUGCUUAGCCCACAGUGCACAAUGGUCUCUGACCCCUGUCCCAGCAGGCCUGGCACUGGAGGGCUGAGAGAGCCUCGUACCCAGAGAAUUCCUGGCACAACUGCCCUUCUCAGCCGCAUCUCUCAACUCUCCAGGGUCUUAGACCCUUUUUCACCUCUCCCAGGCUGGACUCUCCUCCUCUUUGUGUGGAUAUUUUCUUUCCUACCUCUGGCUGCCUCCUCAGCCUCGCUUCUUGCCUUCUUUCCUGAUGUGGCAGCCAGCCAGCACUGUAAUGGCUGAGUCCUGGGGGUGUGGUGGGAAGGGAACUCCAGUUCUGGGGUCAGAAGAUCUAAGGUUUAAGACACACUUCUGCUCCAUAAGCUCUAUAAGAACUUAGAAAAAACAAAUAACUUUCAUUCUCAGCUUGGAAAAUCUGUAAAAUGGGGAAAGCAGUAAUGCAUAAAUUGCAGUUUUUAGGUAAGGAAUGGAAGGAAUGAUCAUCUAUGUGAAAGAAUUUAUUUGGAACAGCGAGAUGCUGUACAAUCUCCCUAAGUCUGCUGCUGACUUUGUAUAUCUCAAAUGUCUGCAGCUAAGGUUCUUCCCUACCAUUGUGUAGACAAGGCUGGAUGUAGGAAAGGAACCCAAGCUGGAAUGAGAUAUUCUUGCCUGAGCCCCCUCCAUCUUGUUUCCUACCCCAAACCAAGGAUGGAGGGAGCUCAGGCAAGAGUAUCUUGUUUUCUCGUUCCUGGUACAGACCCCCAUUUUCCAUAAACGUCAGGAGGAUAAAAAGCCUUUGUGCUCAAGAGAAAAGUCCCAGCCUCUUCUCCCCUAAGGUCAAGCCUGAAUUAACCUCAAGCUAUUUGUAGGAUUCCUCAGAGGGUGGAAUCUCAUCAGAACUCUUCAAAGUGUGAAGGUCAAGGAAGAACUGGGCCACUUUCCUUGAUCGCUGUUGUGGUCCUCCCCACCUCCUCCCAGACCUCUGGGGUGACCCACAGUCGUCUCCAUUUACCUUUCAUGUGAAAGCCAAGCUCUUCAUGUCAUGGGUCACCCUAUCCCCAGCAACAUGUCCUGUCACACCCCAGCUGUGGGGGUGAAGCCACUGUGAAAUGUCAGCUCUGCUCAGGAGCCUGUCCAGCCAUGCCCGCUGCAGUCAACCCCCUCUCACCGCCAGAUGGGGUGAAAUGUUUCUGUGAUAUUCUCUCUUCAUUCGAGCUUGGACUAACGUGGCAAUUCAGAAGUUAAGACCAAACUGGGAGCCAAUUUUAAUCUUCCCAAAUCAAGCAGGUGGAUGGUGUUUGGACUUGAGGGGACCUGGAUAUUAAGGAGAGGUAGAGAGGGCUGCUCAAUGGGCUGCCCAGGGCCGUCCCACCACCCCUUGGGAAGUUCUCACCUCCCAAUUCAAGUGGAGACCCUCUGGCUCACUGUUAGCCCUCUGAACAGAGCCAGCUUCUUGCUGGGUGAUUCACCUGGCACCUGGCAGAGUCUUCCUGUGAGUAUUUACAUCCUAGAAGGGAAAAAGUCUGUUAACCCAAAGAAAUAAAGGAAAACCUGUAAGA